GUAAUGACAGGUCUGUAGUUGGGGUGUAAUGGCAGGUCUGUAGUUAGGGUGUAAUGGCAGGUCUGUACAGGUUAGGGUGUAAUGGCAGGUCUGUAGUUGGG
Molecule: long non-coding RNA, 101 nt
Organism: Oncorhynchus keta (chum salmon)
Lineage: Eukaryota; Metazoa; Chordata; Actinopteri; Salmoniformes; Salmonidae
Exons: 3
Source: RefSeq, a predicted model, not a curated record